UUUGGCUCGUUUAAUUUUCAUAAAAUUUUGUUAAAGUAUUUACUUUGACACUUUAACAAAAAUAUAAAAAUUUUAAAAAUUUUGAACCAACCGUUUUGUCAGAAAAAUUACACUAGUUAUAUAGCAAUUUGACAACCACCAAUUUUGAUCAUUGAGAAGUUUAAUAUUCCUUUUACAACACAACGUAAUUAAAACGUUUAGCUGACUUUACAGAGUUAUCUCCCUGUAGUGUUAGGUACCACCUUAAGG
RNAcentral lists this long non-coding RNA (249 nucleotides) under Mytilus galloprovincialis (Mediterranean mussel). Lineage: Eukaryota; Metazoa; Mollusca; Bivalvia; Mytilida; Mytilidae. The record is from RNAcentral.